Molecule: long non-coding RNA, 283 nt
Filed under: Lathyrus oleraceus (garden pea)
Lineage: Eukaryota; Viridiplantae; Streptophyta; Magnoliopsida; Fabales; Fabaceae
Description: Pisum sativum (pea) long non-coding RNA (PSAT_LNC021917)
Source: RNAcentral
UUCAAAAAAGUGGCGCCAGCAUAAUGAAACGACACCGUUUCACCAAACCCUAGCAGAACCUAUGAGUCGACGCAAGGCCAUCUACGGUCGACGCAAAACUGUCGAAUGGUCGACGCAACCUUGCUGUAUGGUCGACGCAUGGCUGAAGAUCUUCAUCUUCUUCAUGAAGAAGAAGAUGAACAGUGCGCGGGCUUCAACAUUUUUCCAGAAUUUUUUCCAGAACUCAAAAAUUAAUACAUCAUCAUGAAGCUCUUGCAAUGGAGAACAAAGAUCAACAAUCAUU